Molecule: ribosomal RNA, 465 nt
Filed under: uncultured bacterium
Lineage: Bacteria
Description: partial 16S ribosomal RNA
Rfam family: Bacterial small subunit ribosomal RNA
Source: RNAcentral
CCUCCUCUGUUCUUCCUUUUUUCCUAUUUCUCCAUUUGCUACAUCCUGACUCAGCGACUCCUCGUGAGGGAUGAAGGUCUUCGGAUCGUAAACCUCUGUCAGCAGGGAAGAACGGUCACUGUGCUAAUCAGCAGUGAAUUGACGGUACCUGCAAAGGAAGCACCGGCUAACUCCGUGCCAGCAGCCGCGGUAAUACGGAGGGUGCGAGCGUUAAUCGGAAUUACUGGGCGUAAAGCGCUCGUAGGAGGUAUGUCAAGUCAAGGGUGAAAUCCCCGCGCUCAACGUGGGAACUGCCUUUGAAACUGGCAAACUGGAGUGUGUGAGAGGAUAGUGGAAUUCCAGGUGUAGGAGUGAAAUCCGUAGAUAACUGGAGGAACAUCAGUGGCGAAGGCGACUAUCUGGCACAUAACUGACGCUGAGGAGCGAAAGCGUGGGUAGCAAACAGGAUUAGAUACCCUGGUAGUC